AUACGAAGGGCCCGAGCGUUAAUCGGAAUCACUGGGCUUAAAGAGUACGUAGGCGGACGCGCAGGCAUCUUGUGAAAUCCCUCGGCUCAACCGAGGAACUGCUUGGUGAACCGCGUGUCUUGAGGCAAGUAGGGGCUGUCGGAACGAUAGGUGGAGUGGUGAAAUGCGUUGAUAUCUAUCGGAACGCCGAAGGAGAAAUCAGGUCGCUGGGCUUGUUCUGACGCUGAGGUACGAAAGCGUGGGGAGCGAACGGGAUUAGAAACCCUAGUAGUCC
RNAcentral lists this ribosomal RNA (274 nucleotides) under uncultured bacterium. RNAcentral's name for it is "partial 16S ribosomal RNA". It matches the Rfam family "Bacterial small subunit ribosomal RNA", at positions 523 to 796 of the family's 1533-position model. The record is from RNAcentral.